This 103-nucleotide signal recognition particle RNA is filed under the name Desmospora sp. 8437. Its description in RNAcentral is "Bacterial signal recognition particle RNA". It matches the Rfam family "Bacterial small signal recognition particle RNA". Rfam says of the family: The signal recognition particle (SRP) is a universally conserved ribonucleoprotein involved in the co-translational targeting of proteins to membranes. Archaeal SRP consists of a 7S RNA and homologues of the eukaryotic SRP19 and SRP54 proteins. Lineage: Bacteria; Bacillati; Bacillota; Bacilli; Caryophanales; Thermoactinomycetaceae. The record is from RNAcentral.
CGAACAGGUCCUGCGCAACGGGAACCUCUGAACCGUGUCAGGUCCUGACGGAAGCAGCACUAAGGAGACACUCCCGUGUGCCGCAGGGGUGCCUGAUCCGAGC